AAUACAUGCAAGUCGAACGAGCAAUAUUAGUGACGUACGGGUGCGUAACACGUAUGCAACCUACCCUUUACAGGCGGAUAGCUCGGGGAAACUCGGAUUAAGCCGUCAUAAGAUCAUAGAGUGGCAUCACUUAGUGAUUAAAUUACAAGAGGUAAAGGAUGGGCAUGCGUCUGAUUAGUUAGUUGGCGGGGUAACGGCCCACCAAGACGAUGAUCAGUAGGGGAACUGAGAGGUUGAUCCCCCACACUGGCACUGAGAUACGGGCCAGACUCCUACGGGAGGCAGCAGUAGGGAAUAUUGGUCAAUGGAUGGAAGUCUGAACCAGCCAUGCCGCGUGCAGGAAGAAGGCCUUCUGGGUUGUAAACUGCUUUUGCCAGGGGCUAAAAAGCCCAUGCGUGGGAAAUUGAAAGUACCUGGUGAAUAAG
RNAcentral lists this ribosomal RNA (425 nucleotides) under grassland soil clone sl1_222. RNAcentral describes it as "bacterial SSU rRNA". It matches the Rfam family "Bacterial small subunit ribosomal RNA", at positions 50 to 490 of the family's 1533-position model. The record is from RNAcentral.